This is a long non-coding RNA of Haliotis rubra (blacklip abalone), 131 nucleotides long. RefSeq lists it as uncharacterized. The record is from RefSeq and is a predicted model, not a curated record. The transcript is spliced from 3 exons. Lineage: Eukaryota; Metazoa; Mollusca; Gastropoda; Lepetellida; Haliotidae.
CGGAGUGUCCUUUACUCUACUUCAGCAGAUAACCUUGAUCACUCUUAUACUCCUAAGGAACCGGGAUUGGUCUACCAUCACCCUACCACCUCGACCUUGUAUUCUGAAAUUAUCCAGUACACUAAAUGAUG